Molecule: ribosomal RNA, 483 nt
Filed under: uncultured bacterium
Lineage: Bacteria
Description: partial 16S ribosomal RNA
Rfam family: Bacterial small subunit ribosomal RNA
Source: RNAcentral
UUGAACGCUGGCGGCAGGCCUAACACAUGCAAGUCGAGCGGAUGAAGGGAGCUUGCUCCUGGAUUCAGCGGCGGACGGGUGAGUAAUGCCUAGGAAUCUGCCUGGUAGUGGGGGAUAACGUCCGGAAACGGGCGCUAAUACCGCAUACGUCCUGAGGGAGAAAGUGGGGGAUCUUCGGACCUCACGCCAUCAGAUGAGCCUAGGUCGGAUUAGCUAGUUGGUGGGGUAAAGGCCUACCAAGGCGACGAUCCGUAACUGGUCUGAGAGGAUGAUCAGUCACACUGGAACUGAGACACGGUCCAGACUCCUACGGGAGGCAGCAGUGGGGAAUAUUGGACAAUGGGCGAAAGCCUGAUCCAGCCAUGCCGCGUGUGUGAAGAAGGUCUUCGGAUUGUAAAGCACUUUAAGUUGGGAGGAAGGGCAGUAAGUUAAUACCUUGCUGUUUUGACGUUACCAACAGAAUAAGCACCGGCUAACUUCGUG